GUAACGGGAAGGAAGUCAGUGUCGGUGACUCUGCUAAGCUAGCGGCGUCACGUUACGUGCGUAUGACGUCAUGCGCCGUCGAUUAGGAAGCGGCUUAUACUUCCGGUUAGGAAAAAACCCGCCCGUGUUCUAUUUGAGAUGAUAUAGCUUUCUAAAAUUCAUACACUAGACGGUGGUGCAGAGUGCAGAGUUUUCCACACAGAUCUAGCUGAUUGCUUGAUUGGUCCCGCUUGGCAGGAAAAUGGCCUGUUGAAGUGUGUGAGAAGCAGGUGCAGGACUUGGCCCCAGCAGCCCCAGCCUGUGGCCACGGCACGGAAUAAUAGCAGCAGUGUUUCUACACAGUGGAGCGCUGUCACAACCAGCCACUUGCAAAAAUACGACACGUUUUUCAUAGACGUGUGCGCCGGGAAGGAGAAGCUCAAAGAUGAGAACGGGUUUCCUUUUGAGUCUGGUUCCUCUCAAGGUUUCUCCCUCAUGCUGUCUCAUGGAGUGUUUGCUUGCCACUGUCACCUCUGGAUGUGGAAGGGACUGCCGGUCAACUUGAAGGACACCGAGCAGCUGUUUGUGUGCUUUGGGGAGUACCAUAAGCCGGCUUCGCUGUCUAAGGACUGGUUAGGCCACUGCCUAAAGGACGUGAUUACACAGGCAUACUCACAUGCAAGUCAAGAGACACAUUCUUCCAUUAAAAGUCAUUUCAUAUGUGCUAUGGAUACUUUUGUGGUGGUACUAAGCUGAGUGUCACUCUUGAAGCAGUGACAUCAUGCUCAACGUUCAUCUUCACCAGAUUUAACUGACUGAAUGUCGCUUCAUUGCACCCCAUGUACUCUGAUUCAGUAGCCAGCAAAAUGACAACUAACACUCUGUCCUCAAUAGAAAUUAUUUACGAGCGCUGUCCAUUAUUGUCUGGGGAUGCACUAUCAGGACAUGUUGUAAACCCCUUGUGACGACGUUUCAAAAAGAAAAUGCCCUGGUGGUCCAGAAUGAAAGGAAGUAGAACGAAAGUUUAUGUUUGUAACUGCGGUUCUAUGGCUAAGUGGAACCUUCUGGGUUAGGUGGGUUAAAGAGAAUGUCCAAGGGCAAGCGUGACAUAGCAGAGACCUUUUAUAGGCUAGCAACAAGGUCAUGGUCAUGAGGUGAAAACGUUGCUAUUAGUAUGCGGAAAAGGAAAUGAACGAGGGAGUGCCCGGGUCCGUGGGCACUCUGGAGCUCGAGCAUUUGAAAACAUUUGUGUAACACUUAACAUUUGUUGGAGUAUAAUAUCAGUGGCAUUAGCUGCCGUAGUGUCCAUUUUAGACACAUUUUCAGACUUCUACAUAUAUUACCCGUUCAAAGCAGCAGUGACUCAACAAAACUACAGAGCGACAUUCGUUUUCAACAGAAGCUGGUUAAAUAAUGUGUCAAGAACCACAUACUAGUGUAUUAAC
Molecule: long non-coding RNA, 1424 nt
Organism: Ictalurus punctatus (channel catfish)
Lineage: Eukaryota; Metazoa; Chordata; Actinopteri; Siluriformes; Ictaluridae
Source: Ensembl